UUUUUAAUCAGGCCACACGGUACUAUGUACUCUGUGACGGUCCCCAGCCCGUGUAAACUGAGAGGGAAAA
This 70-nucleotide non-coding RNA is filed under the name unclassified sequences. The record is from RNAcentral.